UAGUGGCGAACGGGUGAGUAACACGUGGGCAAUCUGCCCUGCACUCUGGGACAAGCCCUGGAAACGGGGUCUAAUACCGGAUAUGACCAUCUUGGGCAUCCUUGAUGGUGUAAAGCUCCGGCGGUGCAGGAUGAGCCCGCGGCCUAUCAGCUUGUUGGUGAGGUAAUGGCUCACCAAGGCGACGACGGGUAGCCGGCCUGAGAGGGCGACCGGCCACACUGGGACUGAGACACGGCCCAGACUCCUACGGGAGGCAGCAGUGGGGAAUAUUGCACAAUGGGCGAAAGCCUGAUGCAGCGACGCCGCGUGAGGGAUGACGGCCUUCGGGUUGUAAACCUCUUUCAGCAGGGAAGAAGCGAAAGUGACGGUACCUGCAGAAGAAGCGCCGGCUAACUACGUGCCAGCAGCCGCGGUAAUACGUAGGGCGCAAGCGUUGUCCGGAAUUAUUGGGCGUAAAGAGCUCGUAGGCGGCUUGUCACGUCGGUUGUGAAAGCCCGGGGCUUAACCCCGGGUCUGCAGUCGAUACGGGCAGGCUAGAGUUCGGUAGGGGAGAUCGGAAUUCCU
Molecule: ribosomal RNA, 564 nt
Filed under: Streptomyces sp. 431E11
Lineage: Bacteria; Bacillati; Actinomycetota; Actinomycetes; Kitasatosporales; Streptomycetaceae
Description: bacterial SSU rRNA
Rfam family: Bacterial small subunit ribosomal RNA
Source: RNAcentral